This 73-nucleotide transfer RNA is filed under the name Flavobacteriia bacterium. RNAcentral's name for it is "tRNA-His". It matches the Rfam family "tRNA". From Rfam's summary of the family: Transfer RNA (tRNA) molecules are approximately 80 nucleotides in length. Their secondary structure includes four short double-helical elements and three loops (D, anti-codon, and T loops). Lineage: Bacteria; Pseudomonadati; Bacteroidota; Flavobacteriia. The record is from RNAcentral.
GCGGGUAUAGUUCAGUGGUAGAACACUGGUUUGUGGCACCAGUUAUGAGGGUUCGAUUCCCUCUACUCGCCCA